GCCAGCCUCGGGCCGGCAGACUAGGUAAUACGAAGGUGGGAAGCGUUAUUGGUAAUUACGAGGCGGAAAGGGCAGUUAGGUGGUGUGGUAAGUCUAUUGUGAAAGCUGCCGUCUUAACUGGGAGAGGCCAAUGUAUACUACCAGGCUUGAGUAUAGGAGAGGUUACUGGAAUUCCCGGUGUAGCGAUGAAAUGCGCAGAUAUCGGGAGGAACACCAAUGGCGAAAGCAGGUAACUGGACUAUUACUGACACUCAACUGCGAAAGCUAGGGGAGCAAACAGGAUUAGAUACCCGAGUAGUC
RNAcentral lists this ribosomal RNA (300 nucleotides) under uncultured Bacteroides sp. Its description in RNAcentral is "bacterial SSU rRNA". It matches the Rfam family "Bacterial small subunit ribosomal RNA", at positions 496 to 795 of the family's 1533-position model. Lineage: Bacteria; Pseudomonadati; Bacteroidota; Bacteroidia; Bacteroidales; Bacteroidaceae. The record is from RNAcentral.